RNAcentral lists this small RNA (77 nucleotides) under Terasakiella magnetica. Its description in RNAcentral is "Candidatus Terasakiella magnetica suhB". It matches the Rfam family "Makes More Granules Regulator RNA (mmgR)". From Rfam's summary of the family: SuhB later renamed mmgR (makes more granules regulator) was a putative non-coding RNA found multiple times in the Agrobacterium tumefaciens genome and related alpha-proteobacteria. Other non-coding RNAs uncovered in the same analysis include: speF, ybhL, metA, and serC. Several studies inSinorhizobium meliloti showed that suhB element is indeed a non-coding RNA:firstly it was detected on Northern blot and called Sm8RNA, secondly in an RNAseq study referred to as SmelC689. Lineage: Bacteria; Pseudomonadati; Pseudomonadota; Alphaproteobacteria; Rhodospirillales; Terasakiellaceae. The record is from RNAcentral.
CUUUGUUGUCUUUCUUGGACGUUUCCUCCCAAAACUUGAGCCGCUGGGGCAACCCAGCGGCUUCUCUUUUGCCUUUG